This 249-nucleotide unclassified non-coding RNA is filed under the name uncultured fungus. RNAcentral describes it as "partial contains 5.8S rRNA and ITS2". The record is from RNAcentral. RNAcentral also lists the same sequence under 2 other names. Lineage: Eukaryota; Fungi.
AACGCACAUUGCGCCCCUUGGUAUUCCAUGGGGCAUGCCUGUUCGAGCGUCAUUUGUACCUUCAAGCUCUGCUUGGUGUUGGGUGUUUGUCUCGCCUCUGCGCGUAGACUCGCCUCAAAACAAUUGGCAGCCGGCGUAUUGAUUUCGGAGCGCAGUACAUCUCGCGCUUUGCACUCAUAACGACGACGUCCAAAAGUACAUUUUUACACUCUUGACCUCGGAUCAGGUAGGGAUACCCGCUGAACUUAA